This is a long non-coding RNA of Gopherus flavomarginatus (Mexican gopher tortoise), 1627 nucleotides long. RefSeq lists it as uncharacterized. The transcript is spliced from 3 exons. The record is from RefSeq and is a predicted model, not a curated record. Lineage: Eukaryota; Metazoa; Chordata; Testudines; Testudinidae.
GAACAGGCAGUGACUUUAGCGAGGGAGGUGGAGCUGGGUUGCCAGCGCGCGUGCGCUGCUCCGGCUCUGCCUGGCUCGCGCGGGGCCGUUGGAGCCUCUCCCGGGGCCGGAGAAGGGUGUGUCACUGAGAUCAGGGCUCCUAUCGUACUAAGUGUGUCCCUGCUCUGACAGCUGCUGCAGAGACCCCAACUGAGAUCUGGGCCCUGCUUUGCCAGGCACUGAAGAGACCCCAGGAGUCCGUGUCUCUGCUCCCUGUGGCCGUGGUGGAUUCCGUACCAAAGCAGCACGUCAGCAGAGCAGACGCACACACCAUAGCUCUGCCUGGAACACGCAGCAUUCAUUGCCAGACGGGCUGAGUGAUUGGCUGGGAUGGAUUCACUUGGACAACGGUCUGAGGCUCUCAUAGUUUGAGAUGUUCCUUUGUGCAUAGUUAAUUCUUUCCAUUUAUUAUUUUCCCUCUACCUAUGCCUAAUGCCGCUCUCUUCUUUACUUGCUUUGGUUAUUUCAGUUCCAGUUUUUAAAUGGGAUCUAAGAUUUGCAAAGCUGAAUGAAAGAUAAAACAAACAGAACCAUUUGAAUGUUGGCCCAUAGCUGGUUGUACUGUACCUGGUGAAGGUCGGCUGUAAUGACCGGGUUCCCUAUAGCAUUUUCCGGUGGGGCGGAUAAAGCGACGUCAAAGAGUCAAAUGCGCAUUUUAGGGCAAAAGGGCUAUAUGCAUGAGAAAUGAACUGACACUUAAUUUCCAUUUCUUAAUGCCUAAAAUUUUGACACUCGCUCACACCAAUUUUUUUUUAAAGCGAUGCCCAGCACACUGUCAAGUUAAUGAAUGAAAGCACACCCAUUAUUGAUUGCUUUCUGUUGCAUGAGCAUCUGAUUAAGCACCUGAUUAAAACUGUACCAAUGUAAGUGAAAAUGCAUCAACCCAGCUUAGCUUCAGGAUGUUCAGAUGUUUCUAAAUUAAAUACAUGGCAGAAUGGUUAAUGGGGAAAAUACACUGAAAUGCCUCUACCCAGUCCUGUUGACUUCUCCCAACCGUCCUAUGAGUUCUGGCCUCUUGGUCAACUGAGCUCCCAGUCCCACUUCAGCUGUACCCUCUCCUAACCUAACCCAUUUCUACUGCAAUUGUUCAUCCCCCUCGUCAAGGCAGGGGGUUGGUGCUGCAGCCCCUAAGGUACCUGUGUUAAUCACUGUCUCUCAUACUGGGGCUAUUUAGAUUUCAGGGAACGAUUUCUCAGAAUUACUGACUCUGGGAGGUGGGAGAGAGCAGAGGCUCAGAGGGGGUUUGCUCUUAGGGACACGUUCAACUCUGGUAGCCUCCGUGUUACCUCGUCCUCCACCCUCCCUCAUGUGUCUCUGAUCAUGUGUCAGAGUGUCAUCUUCUGAUCAUAAUGCCACUGGCCUCAGCAGAGCUCCCAGACAGGAGCUAUGUCACGAGGGGGUUACGGUACUGAGAGUGAAAUACAUCACAGGGAGGGUGUAAUUAUCCUGAAAUGAAACAUUCCAGUCUAGGAAAUGAAAGAUUUCAAGUACUUCAUUACUUAAAAUUAUGCUUGAAAUGAUUGGAUUUUUAUGAAUUAAAUUGCAGCAAACGUUCAUUUUACUGUACACACACGCACACACAGAUGGA